AUGGUACUGCAGCAGGAAGACAUAAGCGUCAUUGGGAGGUUGCCAUCUCUUCGUUCUCUCAGCAUAAUGAGCUCACACCAAACGGAAAGGCCGCUGCUCAUUGGUGCGGAUGGUUACCGCAGUAUGAAGGCCUUCAACUUGAGCUGUGUGAAUUCUGGGCAAGUAGUAGUAUUUCAGCAAGGAGCUUUGCCCAAUGCUACAUCAGUUAAAUUGGAUUCCGGUGUCUGGAUUCCAAGAGAUGGUGGUUUUGAUCUGGGCCUCGGGAACCUGCUAUCCCUUGGGCAGCUGUUGCUCACAAUCCAUCGUGAUGGGGUCACGGUUGCGGAGGCCAAGGAAAUGGAGGCUGUGCAGAGGCACGCACUGGAUGUGCAUCCAAAUCGCCCCAGCACCACAUUUCAAAUGGAGCCACCUAUUCCAGACGAUUUGAGUGACCACUAG
RNAcentral lists this ribosomal RNA (438 nucleotides) under Triticum aestivum (bread wheat). RNAcentral's name for it is "partial small subunit ribosomal RNA". Lineage: Eukaryota; Viridiplantae; Streptophyta; Magnoliopsida; Poales; Poaceae. The record is from RNAcentral.